UAAUGUCGUAAGGGGGAGAGUUGGUUAAUGGUUAUAUUACUAUAGAAAACUGAUUUAAUUUAAUGUUACAGUUGAUGGGCUAUGACAAAUAGCUUAGAUGAUACUGCAAUCUAACUUAGAUAUCCAAAUAAGAAAAUGUAUGUUUGAGUUUUCUGGGUGGAAAAGUAUGACAGCAGAAACCCAGAACCCAUAAGUCCCCAGAAAAGUUAUCGAGGUAACCUGCUCUUACAUCUCAACACAACAGCAUUUGACAAAGCAAAAUAAAAUGUAAAAUCAAUUUAAAUUCAAAAAUUUAACAAAGAAUGCAUUUUCAUUAAAACAUAGUAAAACACUUUGUUGCAUAAAUACAUUAAAUUUAAACUAAAACACUUAAUACAAUCGUGAGAUGUACGUAGAAUCCAGCUCAAUGUUACAACAUAAACCCUUGAUGAUAUAGUUUAGUAAAUAUUAGAAACUAACCGCACAUCCGGUGAUUUCCAUUUCAAAUGACAAAAACCAGAAGAUCUUAAUAAGGUCUAAUGAUAAUAUACUUCUAUCUCAAGUUAUUAAUUAACAACCCCAGGAACAAUGACGACGAUGUAUAAAGUCUAUACGAAUGUCGACAGAAUAGAGAUGAACAGGAAGAAACUGAGAGAAUAUCAGCUCCAAUUAAUUUAUGAGAAUUCAAGAAUACGGAUUACAGAAACGAGCUUCAUGGCAUUGAUAAGUGAUGAAUACCCUGAAAAAAGACACAUAACUCCAUCACUACCCUUACUCAGUAGGAACAAACCUUUCAACUGCAAAGAUGUGAAUCCUUUGUUGACCAUGUUAUGAGCUGUGAGCAGUAAGUACAAAAAGCGGAGGAUUACUCUAUUCGUCGAAAUCUUUCAAAAAACUGCUCAAUCAACAUCCAAAAAAUUUUAACAAUAUUAAGUUAUUAGGCUCAUAUUAAUACUUCUCUAUGGCGGC
Molecule: long non-coding RNA, 948 nt
Organism: Bolinopsis microptera
Lineage: Eukaryota; Metazoa; Ctenophora; Tentaculata; Lobata; Bolinopsidae
Exons: 3
Source: RefSeq, a predicted model, not a curated record